ACCACUGAGCCACCUUCCCAACCCUCACAUUAAUUUUUUUAAAAAAGUAAAGUUAUUGGGGCUGGGAAGGUGGCUCAGUGGU
Molecule: non-coding RNA, 82 nt
Organism: Dipodomys ordii (Ord's kangaroo rat)
Lineage: Eukaryota; Metazoa; Chordata; Mammalia; Rodentia; Heteromyidae
Source: Rfam